Molecule: ribosomal RNA, 1404 nt
Filed under: uncultured bacterium
Lineage: Bacteria
Description: bacterial SSU rRNA
Rfam family: Bacterial small subunit ribosomal RNA
Source: RNAcentral
AGAGUUUGAUUCUGGCUCAGGAUGAACGCUAGCGACAGGCCUAACACAUGCAAGUCGAGGGGUAUUGGGUCUUCGGACCCGAGAGACCGGCGCACGGGUGCGUAACGCGUAUGUAACCUGCCUUACACCGGGGGAUAGCCUUCCGAAAGGGAGAUUAAUACCGCAUAAUAUUAUAUAGCCACCUGGUUGUAUAAUUAAAACUUCGGUGGUGUAAGAUGGACAUGCGUAUGAUUAGCUAGUUGGCGGGGUAACGGCCCACCAAGGCGACGAUCAUUAGGGGUUCUGAGAGGAAGGUCCCCCACACUGGUACUGGAACACGGGCCAGACUCCUACGGGAGGCAGCAGUGAGGAAUAUUGCGCAAUGGGGGGAACCCUGACGCAGCGACGCCGCGUGAGUGAGGAAGGCCUUCGGGUCGUAAAGCUCUGUCAAGAGGGAAGAAGUGCACUAUGGUUAAUACCCGUAUUGCUUGACGGUACCUCUAAAGGAAGCACCGGCUAACUCCGUGCCAGCAGCCGCGGUAAUACGGAGGGUGCGAGCGUUGUUCGGAAUCACUGGGCGUAAAGGGCGCGCAGGCGGUUUGGCAAGUCAGAUGUGAAAUCCCAUGGCUUAACUGUGGAAGUGCAUUUGAAACUGCCAGGCUUGAGUACCAGAGGGGAAAGUGGAAUUCCCGGUGUAGAGGUGAAAUUCGUAGAUAUCGGGAGGAAUACCGGUGGCGAAGGCGACUUUCUGGCUGGAUACUGACGCUGAGGCGCGAAAGCGUGGGGAGCAAACAGGAGUAGAUACCCUGGUAGUCCACGCCGUAAACGAUGUGAACUAGAUGUAGGGGGUGUUGAUCCCCUCUGUGUCGCAGCUAACGCAUUAAGUUCACCGCCUGGGGAGUACGGUCGCAAGAUUAAAACUCAAAGGAAUAGACGGGGGCCCGCACAAGCGGUGGAGUAUGUGGUUUAAUUCGAUGCAACGCGAAGAACCUUACCUGGUCUUGACAUCCCGGGAAUUCCUAGGAAACUAGGAAGUGCCUUCAUCCGAAGGAACCUGGAGACAGGUGCUGCAUGGCUGUCGUCAGCUCGUGUCGUGAGAUGUUGGGUUAAGUCCCGCAACGAGCGCAACCCCCGCCUUUAGUUGCCAGCAGUUCGGCUGGGCACUCUAAAGGGACUGCCGGUGUCAAACCGGAGGAAGGUGGGGAGGACGUCAAGUCCUCAUGGCCUUUAUGACCAGGGCUACACACGUACUACAAUGGCCGAUACAAAGGGCAGCGACACUGCGAGGUGAAGCCAAUCCCAUAAAAUCGGUCUCAGUCCGGAUUGGAGUGUGCAACUCGACUCCACGAAGUCGGAAUUGCUAGUAAUCGCGGAUCAGCAUGCCGCGGUGAAUAAGUUCCCGGGCCUUGUACACACCGCCCGUCA